CUACGGGGGGCUGCAGUGGGGAAUCUUGCACAAUGGAGGAAACUCUGAUGCAGCGAUGCCGCGUGAGUGAAGAAGGCCCUUGGGUUGUAAAGCUCUUUUGUCGGGAAAGAUAAUGACUGUACCCGAAGAAUAAGGUCCGGCUAACUUCGUGCCAGCAGCCGCGGUAAUACGAAGGGACCUAGCGUAAUUCGGAAUUACUGGGCGUAAAGCGCGCGUAGGCGGUUAAGUAAGUUAAUUGUGAAAGCCCAAAGCUCAACUUUGGAAUUGCAAUUAAAACUAUUUAGCUAGAGUUUAUCAGAGGAAAGCGGAAUACAUAGUGUAGAGGUGAAAUUCGUAGAUAUUAUGUAGAACACCAGUUGCGAAGGCGGCUUUCUGGGAUAAUACUGACGCUGAGGUGCGAAAGUAUGGGUAGCGAAGAGGAUUAGAUACUCCGGUAGUC
RNAcentral lists this ribosomal RNA (439 nucleotides) under uncultured bacterium. RNAcentral's name for it is "partial 16S ribosomal RNA". It matches the Rfam family "Bacterial small subunit ribosomal RNA", at positions 339 to 795 of the family's 1533-position model. The record is from RNAcentral.